UUUCCGGGGCAAACAAAUUAUUUUCUGUUUGAAACGAAACCACAAAAUUUAUUUAAGUAUAGAAAUACAAAAAAUCUUUUUUACUUAUCUUCAAUUCUCCCUUUGUUUCUUCAGCCUCCUCUGUAUCUUUUCUCAAUCUUCUCUCUUCAACCUUCUAAUAUAGCUGUUGCUUCCUAAUUCGUGUUUAAGAUGAAUCUCCUAGGCGUCAAUCUUAAAAUCGCUUCUUUCAUGCCUCAGUUCCAUAGCUCACGAUCCGAUUGUAAUUUAUGCGCUUCUUGGGUUAGGUUCUGUCUCUGUUUCUGCAAACGACGAAGUUUUGUGUACUGCUUGAUAUCAAGGAGAAAACUUUGAAGAAGCUGUCUAAGCAGUAUGUGUGUUCCAGACUGUCUUUGUUUUCUAUUUGUUCUCACAUACUUACCAAACUCUUUGUUUCUAUCUUCGUGCAAGGACAUGAUAUACGAAUCCAAGUAGCAGGGGUCACUUGUACAGUUCUCUGGCUCUAAGGAAAUUCAAAUGAUGCUGGAGAUUGCGGUGGCAUCCCUGUGUUUAAUACUUAUAAUGUCACUGCAUUUGAGAAGAUGGCCAAACACGAAGUAAUGCUAUAGGGCGAUCUUAGGAGGAGCCAUACUUGUUCCUGAAGUCGCAAUGCAAGUAGCAAAGAAGAGACAUAAUUGAUUGAUAUCAGUGACGAGGAAGUAACAAGUCUCGAAGGAGAUUUAAGUUUGGGUAUAAGGAUGAGUGGUACGUAGGCAAAUCGAACCUCCGGUCAAGUUUGAUAUAGCCAAGAGACCAGGAGCAAAGAGAUACCGUGCACCAGUUUAGAUUUAGGUUUUUAUUAGGUUUUCAAAACCAGUUUAUUAUUUAUGAACCAGUUUUAAUUUGUAAACCAUAUU
Long non-coding RNA from Brassica oleracea var. oleracea, 893 nucleotides. RefSeq lists it as uncharacterized. NCBI's taxonomy places the organism in Eukaryota, Viridiplantae, Streptophyta, Magnoliopsida, Brassicales, Brassicaceae. The transcript is spliced from 5 exons. The record is from RefSeq and is a predicted model, not a curated record.